UAGGGUAUCUUCGGCAAUGGGGGCAACCCUGACCGAGCAACGCCGCGUGAGUGAAGAAGGUUUUCGGAUCGUAAAGCUCUGUUGUAAGAGAAGAACGUGUGUGAGAGUGGAAAGUUCACACAGUGACGGUAACUUACCAGAAAGGGACGGCUAACUACGUGCCAGCAGCAGCGGUAAUACGUAGGUCCCGAGCGUUGUCCGGAUUUAUUGGGCGUAAAGCGAGCGCAGGCGGUUUAAUAAGUCUGAAGUUAAAGGCAGUGGCUUAACCAUUGUUCGCUUUGGAAACUGUUAAACUUGAGUGCAGAAGGGGAGAGUGGAAUUCAAUGUGUAGCGGUGAAAUGCGUAGAUAUAUGGAGGAACACCGGUGGCGAAAGCAGCUCUCUGGUCUGUAACUGACGCUGAGGCUCGAAAGCGUGGGGAGCAAACAGG
RNAcentral lists this ribosomal RNA (429 nucleotides) under bacterium. Its description in RNAcentral is "partial 16S ribosomal RNA". It matches the Rfam family "Bacterial small subunit ribosomal RNA", at positions 355 to 776 of the family's 1533-position model. The record is from RNAcentral.